RNAcentral lists this ribosomal RNA (492 nucleotides) under uncultured bacterium. Its description in RNAcentral is "partial 16S ribosomal RNA". It matches the Rfam family "Bacterial small subunit ribosomal RNA", at positions 29 to 507 of the family's 1533-position model. The record is from RNAcentral.
AGUGAACGCUGGCGGCAGGCCUAACACAUGCAAGUCGAACGGCAGCACAGUAAGAGCUUGCUCUUACGGGUGGCGAGUGGCGGACGGGUGAGGAAUACAUCGCAAUCUACUUUUUCUUGGGGGAUAACGUAGGGAAACUUACGCUAAUACCGCAUAUGACCUACGGGUGAAAUCAGGGGAUCUUCGGACCUUUCGCGAUUGUAUUAGCCGAUGUCGGAUUAGCUAGUUGGCUGGGUAAAGGCCCACCAAGGCGACGAUCCGUAGCUGAUCUGAGAGGAUGAUCAGCCACACUGGAACUGAGACACGGUCCAGACUCCUACGGGAGGCAGCAGUGGGGAAUAUUGGACAAUGGGCGAAAGCCUGAUCCAGCAAUGCCGCGUGAGUGAAGAAGGCCUUCGGAUUGUAAAGCCCUUUUGUUGGGAAAGAAAAGCAGCAGGUUAAUACCUGGCUGUUUUGACGGUACCCAAAGAAUAAGCAACGGCUAACUUCGUG